RNAcentral lists this ribosomal RNA (794 nucleotides) under uncultured bacterium. RNAcentral describes it as "bacterial SSU rRNA". It matches the Rfam family "Bacterial small subunit ribosomal RNA", at positions 8 to 796 of the family's 1533-position model. The record is from RNAcentral.
AGAGUUUGAUCCUGGCUCAGAAUGAACGCUGGCGGCGUGCCUAACACAUGCAAGUCGGAUGUGCCGCAAGGUGCAUGGCAGACGGGUGAGUAACGCGUAGGGAAUCUACCUUUUUGUGGGGAAUAACGUUCCGAAAGGAAUGGUAAUACCGCAUAAGACCAAUGGCUGGGAUGCUGUUGGUGAAAGCUGGGGACCGCAAGGCCUAGCGCGAGAAGAGGAUCCUGCGUCUGAUUAGCUAGUUGGUGAGGUAACGGCCCACCAAGGCGACGAUCAGUAGCCGGCCUGAGAGGGUGAUCGGCCACACUGGAACUGAGACACGGUCCAGACUCCUACGGGAGGCAGCAGUGGGGAAUUUUGCGCAAUGGGCGAAAGCCUGACGCAGCAACGCCGCGUGGGUGAUGAAGGUCUUCGGAUCGUAAAACCCUGUCGUCAGGGACGAAGGUUGUGGGGUUAAUAACCCUAUAGCUUGACGGUACCUGGAGAGGAAGCCCCGGCUAACUCUGUGCCAGCAGCCGCGGUAAUACAGAGGGGGCAAGCGUUAUUCGGAAUUACUAGGCGUAAAGCGAGUGUAGGCGGGAGGUUAAGUUUGCUGUUAAAUCUCAUAGCUCAACUAUGAAAUGCCGGCGAAUACUGGCCUUCUUGAAUUCGGUAGGGGUAACUGGAAUUCCAGGUGUAGCGGUGAAAUGCGUAGAUAUCUGGAAGAACGCCAAAGGCGAAAGCAGGUUACUGGGCCGCAAUUGACGCUGAGACUCGAAAGCUAGGGGAGCAAACAGGAUUAGAUACCCUGGUAGUCC